GGAGACAGCCGGUGAUCGCCAGGUAAUAUCUUUUACCUGGAGGAAAGUCCGGGCUCCACAGGGCAGGGUGGUCCGUAACGCGGACCGGGGGUAACCUUAGGGAAAGUGCCACAGAAAAGAUACCGCCAGUUCUUUAUCUGGUAAGGGUGAAAAGGUGAGGUAAGAGCUCACCAGCUGCAACGGUGACGUUACAGGCUUGGUAAACCCCACCCGUAGCAAAAUCAAAUAGGGGAGCGCUUGAGAGUGGCCCGCUCGAAGCUCCCGGGUAGAUUGCGUGAGGUGUCGAGCAAUCGACAUCCCAGAUGAAUGGUCACCACCUUGUAUACUCCAAGGGAACAGAACCCGGCUUAUGACUGGUCUCCACCG
Molecule: RNase P RNA, 366 nt
Filed under: Deltaproteobacteria bacterium
Lineage: Bacteria; Pseudomonadati; Myxococcota; Myxococcia
Description: RNase P RNA component class A
Rfam family: Bacterial RNase P class A
About the family: Ribonuclease P (RNase P) is a ubiquitous endoribonuclease, found in archaea, bacteria and eukarya as well as chloroplasts and mitochondria.
Source: RNAcentral